GGGCCCGCACAAGCGGUGGAGUAUGUGGUUUAAUUCGAAGAUACGCGCAGAACCUUACCAACACUUGACAUGUUCGUCGCGAGACCAAGAGAUUGGUUUCUUCAUUUAGUUGGACGAAACACAGGUGCUGCAUGGCUGUCGUCAGCUCGUGUCGUGAGAUGUUGGGUUAAGUCCCGCAACGAGCGCAACCCCCUACUUUUAGUUGCCACCAUUUAGUUGGGCACUUUAAAAGAACUGCCAGUGAUAAGCUGGAGGAAGGUGGGGAUGACGUCAAGUCCUCAUGGCCCUUACGUGUUGGGCUACACACGUGCUACAAUGGCACUUACAAUGGGAAGCAAAGAGGCGACUCCUAGCUAAUCCCAAAAAUGUGUCUCAGUUCGGAUUGUCACUCUGCAACUCGAGUGCAUGAAGCUGGAAUUGCUAGUAAUCGCGAAU
Molecule: ribosomal RNA, 435 nt
Filed under: uncultured bacterium
Lineage: Bacteria
Description: bacterial SSU rRNA
Rfam family: Bacterial small subunit ribosomal RNA
Source: RNAcentral